AGUGGCAGACGGGUGAGUAACAUGUGGGUAUCUACCCCUUGGCCUGGAAUAACACGAGGAAACUUGUGCUAAUACCGGAUAAGUCUUUACGGAGAAAGCUUUAUGCACCAUUGGAUGAGCCCGCACUUGAUUAGUUUGUUGGUAGGGUAAUGGCCUACCAAGACUAUGAUCAAUAGCUGAUUUGAGAGGAUGAUCAGCCACAUUGGGACUGAGACACGGCCCAAACUCCUACGGGAGGCAGCAGUGGGGAAUCUUGCACAAUGGAGGAAACUCUGAUGCAGCGAUGCCGCGUGAGUGAAGAAGGCCUUUGGGUUGUAAAGCUCUUUCGUCGGGGAAGAAAAUGACUGUACCCGAAUAAGAAGGUCCGGCUAACUUCGUGCCAGCAGCCGCGGUAAUACGAAGGGACCUAGCGUAGUUCGGAAUUACUGGGCUUAAAGAGUUCGUAGGUGGUUGAAAAAGUUGGUGGUGAAAUCCCAGAGCUUAACUCUGGAACUGCCAUCAAAACUUUUCAGCUAGAGUAUGAUAGAGGAAAGCAGAAUUUCUAGUGUAGAGGUGAAAUUCGUAGAUAUUAGAAAGAAUACCAAUUGCGAAGGCAGCUUUCUGGAUCAUUACUGACACUGAGGAACGAAAGCAUGGGUAGCGAAGAGGAUUAGAUACCCUCGUAGUCCAUGCCGA
RNAcentral lists this ribosomal RNA (675 nucleotides) under uncultured bacterium. RNAcentral describes it as "bacterial SSU rRNA". It matches the Rfam family "Bacterial small subunit ribosomal RNA", at positions 94 to 803 of the family's 1533-position model. The record is from RNAcentral.